RNAcentral lists this microRNA (22 nucleotides) under Pan troglodytes (chimpanzee). RNAcentral describes it as "ptr-miR-651". Its record names the gene ptr-miR-651. Lineage: Eukaryota; Metazoa; Chordata; Mammalia; Primates; Hominidae. The record is from miRBase by way of RNAcentral.
UUUAGGAUAAGCUCGACUUUUG